Long non-coding RNA from Panicum virgatum (switchgrass), 1159 nucleotides. RefSeq lists it as uncharacterized. The record is from RefSeq and is a predicted model, not a curated record. Lineage: Eukaryota; Viridiplantae; Streptophyta; Magnoliopsida; Poales; Poaceae. The transcript is spliced from 2 exons.
GAAAUAGAUCGAAGAGGGCGAGAAUCUUCAAUCCACCGAAAUCCCCCAGCCCUUGCGUCCGCUUCGCGCCGCCUUCAAGUUGCCGCCGCUGGCAAAUCCAGCCGGAGGUGGUCGCCCCCGCCGGCAUCGAACAAGGGCAGCGGCCCGCGGUGCCGGCAGCCCCAGCGCCGUCGCCCUCGCCCCGAUUCGCCGACCCCUGCGCCCCAGCGCCGUACCGCUGUCCGCCCGUUCCUGCUUCUCCGGUGACCGGCCUCUUGCUUCUCCGCCGACCGGCGCCCCAGGGACCAGCAGCCGAAGCGCUCAGCCCUUCCUCCGCGGCUCCGCUUGAUCCCUGCCAGCGCCUCCCCUCCACACUGUUGCUCCGGCUUGUGUCCGGCGGCGGCGGCCACCAGCCCACCACCCAGGUGGCUAGGACCGACGCCGUGGCCCUCUCUGUUCUCCCGUUCCACUUUGCACCCUCUCGGCCCCUGCGUGGAACUGCCCAAGGUACGCCUUUGUAUUUUUUUUUCUUGACUUUGUUGAAUCUAGUUUUUUAGUGCAUGCAGACUUGUUGCUUUGGUUUUUUUAUGCUUGAUUAGAUGGAUAGAAGUUGGGUGAAUGGUAGAUUAUUUUCCCGUGAAUACAUCAAUGGUGUCAAAGAAUUUAUGGGCUUCAUUCAAGGGAAAUUCAGAGAGGAUGAUGAAAUAUUGUGUCCAUGUAGUAGAUGCCUUAAUCAGAAGUACCUUAAUUUGAGAAAAGAAAAAAACAUAGAAUUGCAAGAGAGUGAUGGUGAAGAUGUGGAAGAUGACACAAUUUUAGAGUACUGCGAUGAAGGUGAAGGAGGUGCCAUAAAUGAGGUAGACAGUGAUGAUGAAUAGCCCUGGACUUGUUAUGGCAAGGAAGCUGCAGAUGGUGGUGGAUGUCGUUGCAGCUAAAAUGUGAUAUGACAAAGAAGGCAAAAAGUGAAUGCUAUUUUAUUCAAUCAAUCUUUUGUAACCUGCGAGGAUGCAUGAACUUGUGAGGAUGCUUGCUGUUGACCUAUGAUGGCGCAUGAACCAUUUCAAAUCUGGAUGCUUGCUAUUUUUGUGUAAUCUGUAUGCUUGUUGACAUAUGAUGGUCCAUGAACCAAUUUAAAUAUUGAUGCUUCCUAUUUAUAUGUAAUCUGGAUGCUUGCUGUUGA